UUGACCUCGGAUCAGGUAGGAAUACCCGCUGAACUUAAGCAUAUCAAUAAGGCGGA
This 56-nucleotide ribosomal RNA is filed under the name Cytospora schulzeri. RNAcentral's name for it is "partial 28S ribosomal RNA". Lineage: Eukaryota; Fungi; Ascomycota; Sordariomycetes; Diaporthales; Cytosporaceae. The record is from RNAcentral.